GGGGAGGUUGCAGUGGCCAUGGCUGCUGCUGCCUUUGGCUUGUGGAAGAAUCAGUGGCAGAGAAGAAGAUGAAUGAGGUGAGAUUUUUAGAUUUGGUUUUUGGAUUUAGCUUAAGCUUAUUGUUGUUGGUGGCCAUGGAAAUUUUGUGGGAGGCUGUCAUUGAUCAACCCUCUCUUCUCAUUGGAUGGAACUUGCCACGUAACCUUAUCCCUUAUCCAUCUCUCUCUCGCUCUCACACAUGAGAAUGGGCUAGCCCAUGUGGGUUUCAAAGGUUUGAAUUUAGGGCCUCUCCCUCAAUGGGCUAAAAGCGUACCUAAUGGUGACGGGGUACCGACGUUGGACCAUAAAACGUGUCAAGCCUACAUCGUAAGCUAGUCUACAUAAUCUAAAAUCUAGAGCUCUGAUGGCAACUAUAACGACCCUAAAUUUCUAUAUACACAAAAUUGUUA
Molecule: long non-coding RNA, 449 nt
Organism: Cucurbita maxima (winter squash)
Lineage: Eukaryota; Viridiplantae; Streptophyta; Magnoliopsida; Cucurbitales; Cucurbitaceae
Exons: 2
Source: RefSeq, a predicted model, not a curated record